RNAcentral lists this ribosomal RNA (482 nucleotides) under uncultured bacterium. Its description in RNAcentral is "partial 16S ribosomal RNA". It matches the Rfam family "Bacterial small subunit ribosomal RNA", at positions 28 to 523 of the family's 1533-position model. The record is from RNAcentral.
AGUGAACGUUGGCGGCGUGGAUUAGGCAUGCAAGUCGAGCGAGAACCGUAGCAAUACGGGGACAGCGGCGAAAGGGACAGUAAUGUGUAGGUACCUACCUCCGGGUUCGGGAUAGCUGCGGGAAGCUGCAGGUAAUACCGAAUAACGUCUCCGGACCAGAGGUGUGAUUCCAACUGGAGAGGGGCCUGCAUCCUAUUAGCUUGUUGGCGGGGUAACGGCCCACCAAGGCGACGAUGGGUAGCGGGUGUGAGAGCACGACCCGCGUCAUUGGGACUGAGACACUGCCCAGACACCUACGGGUGGCUGCAGUCGAGGAUCUUCGGCAAUGGGCGCAAGCCUGACCGAGCGACGCCGCGUGCGGGAUGAAGGCCUUCGGGUUGUAAACCGCUGUCGUAGAGGAGGAAGUGCAGGGGGGUUCUCCCCUCUGUUUGACCUAUUCUAGGAGGAAGGACGGGCUAAGUUCGUGCCAGCCGCCGCUGUAA